CGCCUUUUGAACACUAUAAAAGGUAACGCCUGCCCAGUGACAAUUUGUUUAACGGCCGCGGUAUUCUGACCGUGCGAAGGUAGCGUAAUCACUUGUCUUUUAAAUAAAGACUAGUAUGAAUGGCAUCACGAGGACUUAACUGUCUCCCCCCUCCAAUCAGUGAAACUGAUUUCCCCGUACAAAAGCGUGGAUAAAUACAUAAGACGAGAAGACCCUAUGGAGCUUAAAACCAAAAACCACUUGUUUAACCUACUACAUUAAUGUAAUACUAAAAUAACAAGCCUUGUCCAGGUUUUUAGUUGGGGUGACUGUGGAGAAAAAUAAAUCCUCCAUGUAGACUUAAGCUUUGAGUUACCACUCUAUGUAUUAGCAAGCCUAACUUCACUUGAUCCAAUAAUUUGAUCAACGGACCAAGUUACCCUAGGGAUAACAGCGCAAUCCAUUUCAAGAGUCCAUAUCGACAAAUGGGUUUACGACCUCGAUGUUGGAUUAGGACAUCCAAGUGGUGCAGCCGCUGCUAAGGGUUCGUUUGUUCAACGAUUAAAGUCCU
Molecule: ribosomal RNA, 550 nt
Filed under: Oreolalax sterlingae
Lineage: Eukaryota; Metazoa; Chordata; Amphibia; Anura; Megophryidae
Description: partial 16S ribosomal RNA
Rfam family: Bacterial large subunit ribosomal RNA
Source: RNAcentral